This 466-nucleotide ribosomal RNA is filed under the name uncultured bacterium. Its description in RNAcentral is "partial 16S ribosomal RNA". It matches the Rfam family "Bacterial small subunit ribosomal RNA", at positions 28 to 507 of the family's 1533-position model. The record is from RNAcentral.
GAUGAACGCUGGCGGCGUGCUUAACACAUGCAAGUCGAACGGAAAGGCUCCUGCUUGCAGGGGUACUCGAGUGGCGAACGGGUGAGUAACACGUGGGUGAUCUGCCCUGCACUUCGGGAUAAGCCUGGGAAACUGGGUCUAAUACCGGAUAGGACGAUGGUUUGGAUGCCAUUGUGGAAAGUUUUUUCGGUGUGGGAUGAGCUCGCGGCCUAUCAGCUUGUUGGUGGGGUAAUGGCCUACCAAGGCGUCGACGGGUAGCCGGCCUGAGAGGGUGUACGGCCACAUUGGGACUGAGAUACGGCCCAGACUCCUACGGGAGGCAGCAGUGGGGAAUAUUGCACAAUGGGCGGAAGCCUGAUGCAGCAACGCCGCGUGGGGGAUGACGGCCUUCGGGUUGUAAACUCCUUUCGCUAGGGACGAAGCGCAAGUGACGGUACCUGGAGAAGAAGCACCGGCUAACUACGUG